UUAUCCUGCCACGACAUUCAU
This 21-nucleotide non-coding RNA is filed under the name Arabidopsis thaliana (thale cress). Lineage: Eukaryota; Viridiplantae; Streptophyta; Magnoliopsida; Brassicales; Brassicaceae. The record is from RNAcentral.